AAGUGAGAAGCGAUUAAUUGCAAUCAAUUUCGACUUGGUCCUAGGUGAAAUCACCCUCACUUG
RNAcentral lists this transfer RNA (63 nucleotides) under Xizicus howardi. RNAcentral describes it as "tRNA-Arg". The record is from RNAcentral. Lineage: Eukaryota; Metazoa; Arthropoda; Insecta; Orthoptera; Tettigoniidae.